RNAcentral lists this long non-coding RNA (1708 nucleotides) under Nicotiana tabacum (common tobacco). Its description in RNAcentral is "long non-coding RNA (NTAB_LNC001457)". The record is from RNAcentral. Lineage: Eukaryota; Viridiplantae; Streptophyta; Magnoliopsida; Solanales; Solanaceae.
UUUUUGGCGCAAAAAAGAGGUGACAUGCCAAACUACAUUUAUCUAUGUGAAGAUAGCGGUCUUUUUUGUGCAUCCCUUGUGGAUACCUUUGAUAAUGUUGUAUCUGUUAUGCUUACAUCCAAAAAAAAUUGUAAUUUGGGGAAGAUAGGUUCGUGCUUUCGAUUCCUCGUUUUGCCCUUGCUCCUGGCUUUCGAUUCCUCAUUUUGCCCUUGCUCCUGGCUUGACGCCGUUAGAAUAAAAUAUAAGAAAAUUAACUUGACAUCUUUAUCUUUUCCAAGGAAAUAAAGAAAGCUUAGCUGGCUCCCACUCACAUCUCAUCUCUCUCAAAUCCCUAAAUCACUUCCAUAAACCUAAGUCUGCAGAUUUCCCUCAAAGGCUAUGAACGACAGCAUGUAUACUAAAAUCAGAGCUAUAUAUUUCUACUCUUUCACUCUUUCAUCUCUGUCACAGUAGGUUUGAAACCCGUUUGUGCAGGUUUGGGGAGAAAAUCAAACUAGGAAUGGACGACUAUCUUACCCAAAGUAAGCACACUUUAUUUCUCUAUAUAUAUCCUAUGAGACAAUCUUUACUUAUUACUCCUCAUCUGGGUUUUUGUUAUAUCUAGCUUUUCUAAUGUAUUUUUGUCUUUGUGCUUCUAUUUUGUGGUUGCUCAGCAAGAUUUUGUACAAUCAGUUUCUUUUCAAGAUUGUGUUUUCUUGCGUGUCCUCUUUUUGAAUUGUUUGUAAAAGCCUUUUCCUUGUUUCAUUUUCUUUUAAUUAGUUCUUAUCUUCUAUACUCUGUUCAGCAUUUUUUUGCAGUUAGUGCUUAGAGGAACUCCCCCUUUUUAUAUGUAGUUUGGAUUAAAGAUAUGUCGUCAAUUGUUUAUCUUCCGUAAAAAUAGAUCUUCAUUUUGUUUAGAUUGUUUAUUAGUGAAUUCCUAUGUUUUAAUCCUUUUUGUAGCAGGAAUAUAGUGUUGAAUUUUAGACAACCUUUUAGCUUUUGAAAACAUAAUGUAAUAUUUAGUUGGGUUUUUUUCAUCUUCUUUAACUUUUAGUGAGUCUAGUAUAUAUUGGCUUAGUUUUAGAAAGUCUUGUUUGUGGCUUGCUAAUGAAUUUAGCAUUUGGAGUAUUUAUGGCUCAUUUGUAACUCAACAAAAUGAUACCUAACAACUCUAUUUUCAAUCAGCCGCAUUUUAGUUCUAUCGUUGUAGUCGAAAGUAAAAAAUUUCAGAAUCGAGUGUUUGACUUUAGUGCAUUCAUUUUUAGAUAGUUUUAUUAUCUGUCCUUUUCUUAUAUUAGUACUAAGACCGUCAGUGUUGGGUUAGAGUCAAGUUUUCACUUAAUUCAAUUCACAAGCAUGUAAUAAUAUAACUAUAAACAAAAAAUAUAUGGAAUGAGUAACUAGUACACUAGUUGAUAAGUGUUGAACACAGAAAUUAUUUGUUCCUUUUGUUUUGACAAUUAAUUUACAGCUUAUCUCAUUCUUGUGGUAUAUUAUUACUUUUAGAUUCUUAAAUUUAAUCAUUGAUUAAUAAUUUAUUAAUUCUAGCUCAUUGCUAUGAAGGUUAUGUCCUUCUAAUGACCAGAGAAAUUGUUGAUGAGUAACAAUUAGUAAACUAGUUGAUCAGUGUUGAACUGAGAAAUUGUGUGUUCUCCGUUUUCACAAUCAAUUUGCAGCUUACAUUCUCGUGGAGUAUUAUUCGAUUAGUCUAAAAGGUUAUGUGCAUUUU